UACGGAGGGGACGAGCGUUGUCCGAAUUUACUGGGCGUAAAGCGCGCGUAGGCGGGUUGGCAAGUCUGCUGUGAAAGCCCGGGGCUUAACCCCGGAGGGUCGGUGGAUACUGCCAGUCUUGAAGGUGCUAGGGGGAGAUGGAAUUACCGGUGUAGCGGUGAAAUGCGUAGAUAUCGGUAGGAACACCAGUGGCGAAGGCGGUCUCCUGGGGCACUCUUGACGCUGAGGCGCGAAAGCUGGGGGAGCGAACGGG
Molecule: ribosomal RNA, 253 nt
Filed under: uncultured bacterium
Lineage: Bacteria
Description: partial 16S ribosomal RNA
Rfam family: Bacterial small subunit ribosomal RNA
Source: RNAcentral